This is a long non-coding RNA of Nematostella vectensis (starlet sea anemone), 4882 nucleotides long. RefSeq lists it as uncharacterized. The transcript has 3 exons. The record is from RefSeq and is a predicted model, not a curated record. Lineage: Eukaryota; Metazoa; Cnidaria; Anthozoa; Actiniaria; Edwardsiidae.
UGUCACUCAAAUCACGGCGGGCACUCUACAACUCAGAAAUGAUGUCAGAAAUAUUCACGACUCAGCUCUCACUUCAAGAGCACGCGCCAUAUAUGCAUUAGUUAUCUAUUUCGGAAAAUGAAACUCCCAGAAGGGAACACUAAAAAGUACUACAUACUCUCAGGUAAUAUUUCAUCACACGACACCUGGGAGCUUCUAUCUUUGGGCAAAAGCUACUCUCUGUGCCUACGAAAUUCCGCGUUUCCAAGCGCCCCGUGCAUCAUAUACUAUCCAGGAGUCUGAAAUAACUACAGUUGAAUAUUUGUAAUGCACUGAAAAAAUACUUUGAUAAUAAGUUGUAGGGAAUGAAGCCUUGUAAACGGCAAUUCGAGUGUGGCAUCUCUUUAUCCUUCGUGAGAAGUUGGGUGAAAAAGCGAUGAAUCACCGCGAAGACUUUGUCCUAAGUGUUGCUUUGCGACAGUAGAAGUUCCACCACAAAAUAUUUACCCUUAAUUACUCCGUAUUUUUAGAGGCAAAAAGCACGUUCAACUAUUUCAUCUCACAGUUCGUAAAGCCUGCAUGUACUAAUUAUUACUUUUUUUCUUAUUAAAAAGGUUGCAUAAUUAUUAUAAGGGUAAUAGUUGGCAAAAUAACAAGGUAAUGUACAUUUGUCCACACAAAUCUCAAUAGUCCCAGUGUGUACUUAAUUUACCAAAAACAUAUAUUUGACACAGAUAAAAAAAACACGUUCGUGUGCAUGGAUGGAAAUUAAUCACCCCCAGGAAAGUGAAUGGAACGCAACAAGCAGCACGAAACGUCCGUUUCCCGAAUCCUAGCGUGUCGUGCUAGAGUGAGUUUCUGUGAUGACCUACAAACGCGCCGAGAAGGGCGACUAAAUACGAUUGCGCGAGAAAGAGUCGAAAAGUUCAUCCCAAACAAUUUACUAGGAUUUAAACAGCCUUGGGCGCAUGUGCUGUCGGGGCUAUCGGGCAGGUUUUAAUCGCCGCAAAGAACAAAACGUGAAAGCUCAAAUAUGCUUUCUAUAGCGUUGCAGGCCUACUAGGAAUCUGUUGUUUAACUCUCUAUGCGUGGGGUUUGUUUGUGGCCCUAUGUCCUGUGGAGUCACUGAAUGCCCUGAUUUCCCAUAAUAAAAAUUACACGGGAAACUAUCACGAUUUUAAACUUGCCUAUUCUCUGACUGAUAAUGACUCGAUUCGUUACUAAAUACAUGAGGUGAUAUUGUGUGUUACAGAGCAGGAAAUCGGUCAAACUGGUUACACUGUGCACUCCACUAUCUUGUACUUGUGGUCUUAGUGGAAACUCAUCGUAAAAAUCUCGUUCAAAACCUUGGCUUAUAGUUAUUGCGGUCACAAGAACCCAUAACACAAUAAAUCAAAACACUAACUAAAAGAAAGGCAAACUAUCUGUGUAAGCAUCGCAAAGUAUGCCACUAAUGACGUUUACUUCGUUUUAAUUUGCUUCUCAAGAGUGCAUCUAAACCAUCUCAAGUGAGCAAUGAAAACGGUUGACGUUGGAAACGCAAAAUAAAAAAAAAUACUUGGUAUAUUCUUACAGUGUACAAGACGCAGCCAUUCGCUCGGCGGUACCAGUCAAACGCAAAGGGUUGAAUGACAUGGCAGCAAGCGUUCGGACGCUCUGGAAGCCCGUAGAGAAACUCGCAAGGAACUGACAUUUUAGCGGAAAACAUUCUCCUGUAAUCACUGAGCUUUGAAGGUUUGGAGAGCUAUAAUUGCGCAAGAAUUCGCAUCACUGUACCUUAUUUAUAAUAGUUAUUGGUAAGAUAUACAUGCUUGUGGAAAUAACGGACCAACCAGAGCAUACAUUUAAGUCCAAGACUCGAAAUGCUCACUAGAAUGACUAGAAAUGGCGCCUAAUUCCCAUACGCGUAAUGCCAAACUAAGUACCUGAAUAUUCCGUGCGAUAUUCUGCCAGCUCUGUCAAAUCUCGGAUGGUUUGGUGUGUGUCCUUUGUUGUUGUGUCAAUGUUCUGUGUAUUGACUAAUUGGAGUCGAAAAUGUCAAGGUCUACGAUCCGCUCCGCCUUAGGACUGUAAACUAGCCUGGAGCCAAAACCGCGCACACUGUUAUUCAAUUGUGUUAGUCGCGUUUAAUGAGAGCACUAUGUUGCGUGCGCCUGACGACAGCGUAAGUGACGUCCCGAAGAGCAGUUGAAGGGUAUCUUGCCUUAUUUGUCAACCUGGGCGCCGCGGGAGGACGGUAUAGGGGAAAUAGUAUUUAGCGUAAUUCGCGUAACCAGGUUCCUAAGGGCCAAUACACUACAAACGCAGGUGGACAAUUUGGUCGAGAUUUCCAUGUCAGACGUAGAUUAUUGCUGACUAGAACAUUUCAAAAGACAUUCUACUACUCGACUGGACGUGUUUGAAUUUCUGUUAGUAAAAUAAAAUACCUAUAGUACUAGACUUUUAACUCUACCUACCUAUACAGCCCAUGCUCUGUGCUUUAUUCUCUAUUAGUUAUUGAUCAAAGAUGGAAUUAUGUUGGAUUUAAAUGUCUUACCUUAUUCGCAAGAGCGACGAUUAUCAACCUAUAUUCCUCCAACAAAGGCCUUAUGCACAACUAUCCUCCCCCAGCCGUGCCUAUCUACUAUAUAAAUUCGUGGACACGUAUUACGCCAAACAAAAGACAACUCGAAGCUGAUUGUUUGGGAGUGCAAACCCACUCAAAGCAGCUGUUGUCCUAUGGCCUGACUUAAUUGAGUUAAUUUAAUGUCUUACUUCAUUUUUGCACCUAACUCUGCAUAAAAACAUUUCUUACGCCGGCUAUUGUUUCAACUGUCGGCGAUUUCUAAUUUGGUCUUGUUCUUGUACACGACAAAAAAGGCCAAAAAUUAGUCCAUUGAUUAGUUUAUUAUGUCAUUUGCAUUAGAAAGCAUCUCGCUCUUUGCGAAAAAAGGGCCGUAAUAUCGCGCGCCCUGCCUUUUCCGGUCACCGACGAUGUGUGCCGCAAACCUCAAUCACACACUCAACCAACUCUUGAAGAUCAUCAAGUGUGACGGGCCCUGUACAAUUGCUCUAAAACAGUGCAAACAUUCAAUCGGGUCGGCGAUCGCACAAACGCCAUGAUCAUUGCGUUAAACGCAUGAACAGCUCAUCGAGGAAUUCGCAUUCUCUUCCAACUCUCAAAAACAAUUUAUCAUUAAUGCUAAUGUAGCUCGUCCUCGGUCGUCAACAAAGAGACCCGCCGCGUUUGAAAUUGAGAUAUUAGGCAUUAUUAAGUGCGGCAAUGGGUGGAAAUUACGCCGGUGAAGCAGCCCCAGAACUUGGCAAAGCCCGCCGAUCACUGCUGAGUGGUUUCGCAGAUGAAUUCUGAAGCCUCAAGAGAGUACCGAAAUUUCGGAAAUUGAAAUCACUUUGGACCGUGAGCGACACGCGCUCCGAAUCUCCGCCUGUCUAACAAACAAUAUGAGGCAAAUAGAGAAGCUUAAUCCUCGGUGCUAGGCGCUGGCGAACUGAAUGAGCAAGUAAUUUGGCGUUAUUACGGGAGUCGUGGUCCGUCCGCUGCGCCUUGCACUCAGGACAUGAUUUCUAGCGGCACUAUCGCAAUGGAAUGUCUCGUAACAUUCGUUUAAACAUGAUGACAAAUCUCUACCGCCACCGCAAGAUUGCCUGCUUUAUGAGUCUGGUCAUGGCCUGUUAAAGUGCCGGCGAGUGAUUGCGGCUAGCGCACCGUGGAAUAGCUAAGAUUUAUUAUAUUUUAACAAGAUGCGAUGCAGUUAACAGUGCGCUUUGGUUGAAAUCCCUUUACCCUACAGUUUGUCCUAUAGUGUUUUUAGUUAGAUGAAGGGUUGGUAAAUAUUUGGAUCCUGUAGCAUCCGAUCGCAAACAAUAUCAAACUUGCUUUGAUUGAGUCAAUGACCUAUUUACAGAUCUCUUGAGCGCCUCGAUUCACACCCAUCAAUGGCAAACAGUUAUGAAAGAAAUACGCCCCCUUUGCCCCCCAGCGAAACUAUCAAAUUCGAUUUCCCCUUAGCUUUGGUAUCUUGAUUCGCCACGCGAGCUUAGAUAUUACGUUGUUCUGAGCGAAAUUUCCAGUCCAUUUUGCGAACACUCAUUAAAGAGCAGGCUGAAAAUAGCAAAUUUUUAGAGUUAUCGAAAGUGUAAGCAAAGCCCUAAACAGGUGCUUAGAGAUCCUACAAUCAACAGGCAAACGAAGAAUCCAGAUUAUUAAUACGGCUUUGGAUUUAGUUGAACACCUAACAAUAUUAGAAAAUAAAGACCUCAAGGAUCUUUAAAACUAACACGUCUGAGUUUGGCAUCACCGAGGCGUGACAAUAUGCAAUAGUUGUAGGGCAGCGUCAGUUAUCUGGUUAUACGGAAUCGAAAAGAGUAAUAAUGACGCCCUCCCUUGCUCUAUCUAGAUGCGCACUCUCUCUCGGUGGUUCACUUAGAACUGCAUCUAAGAGAGAUGUGUGGCUUAGUUGAUGUCGUGCCCCAGGGGCCGCCGUGUGUGAUGGCGGGUAAUCAGGCGGUUCUAACGACUUCCACACAAGUCACCCACAGGAGUCACCCAUGGUAGCUCAGGCGAGUAUCACCUCUACAAUUUACAUUCUCCUUUUAAAAGGCUUUAGCUUCUUCGUAAACCAAAUAUGUGCUUGAAUUGCCUAGAAAUGGCUUUCGUACAAAGCGACUAACAAAAAUUUUAAAUCUAACAUGGAAAUGUGAAAAAAAUACAAAUGUGAAAUGAGUAAAGUUUUUUGUUAACGUUAACCUGGAAAUGUGAAAAAACAACAAAAGCAAAUGUAAAAUAAGUAAAAAACGAUUUUAAAAAAUACAUUACGAAUCGGUGCAACCUGGAGUUUUCUUCGAUAACCCAAUUCCUUUUUAGAAUACAUAUGUGAAAUAAAAUAUUUGAAAAAAGUAGAAA